This 204-nucleotide long non-coding RNA is filed under the name Carica papaya (papaya). RNAcentral's name for it is "long non-coding RNA (CPAP_LNC001688)". The record is from RNAcentral. Lineage: Eukaryota; Viridiplantae; Streptophyta; Magnoliopsida; Brassicales; Caricaceae.
GAACAAUACAGAAUAAGGAGUUAGCUCAGAAUUCCGAGGCUCCACCGAUGUGUUACUCUGAUUUCAGGAUAGGGUGUGUGUUUUAGGUGACAGUGAGUUAAAUAGAGACAUCAUGACAAAGGCCCAUAGCUCAAAGUUUGCUAUGCAUCUUGGAAGCACUAAAAUGUACCAAAGUAUGCGACCCCAGUUUUUGUGGAAUGGGAU